Molecule: non-coding RNA, 98 nt
Filed under: Spirochaetaceae bacterium
Lineage: Bacteria; Pseudomonadati; Spirochaetota; Spirochaetia; Spirochaetales; Spirochaetaceae
Description: TPP sequence
Rfam family: TPP riboswitch aptamer (THI element)
About the family: Vitamin B(1) in its active form thiamin pyrophosphate (TPP) is an essential coenzyme that is synthesised by coupling of pyrimidine and thiazole moieties in bacteria. The previously detected thiamin-regulatory element, thi box was extended, resulting in a new, highly conserved RNA secondary structure, the THI element, which is widely distributed in eubacteria and also occurs in some archaea.
Source: RNAcentral
CGAUAUAUUCCGGGGUGUUCACUAAUUUAGUGAUCUGAGAUGAUACCCGCCGACCUGAUUUGGAUAAUGCCAACGAAGGGAGAACCCAUCUCACCCCC